UACGUAGGUGGCAAGCGUUGUCCGGAUUUACUGGGCGUAAAGAGCGCGCAGGCGGUCGGAUCAGUCGAAUGUGAAAGCCCCGGCUCAACUGGGGAGGGUCAUUCGAUACUGUCCGACUCGAAGGCAGGAGAGGGAAGCGGAAUUCCCGGUGUAGUGGUGAAAUGCGUAGAUAUCGGGAGGAACACCAGUGGCGAAGGCGGCUUUCUGGCCUGUUCUUGACGCUGAGGCGCGAAAGCUAGGGGAGCGAACGGG
Molecule: ribosomal RNA, 252 nt
Filed under: uncultured bacterium
Lineage: Bacteria
Description: partial 16S ribosomal RNA
Rfam family: Bacterial small subunit ribosomal RNA
Source: RNAcentral